CUGGUGGCGAGUGGCGGACGGGUGAGUAACGUAUCGGAACGUACCCAGUCGUGGGGGAUAACUAUCCGAAAGGAUAGCUAAUACCGCAUACGACCUACGGGUGAAAGCAGGGGAUCUUCGGACCUUGCGUUAUUAGAGCGGCCGAUAUCUGAUUAGGUAGUUGGUAGGGUAAAGGCCUACCAAGCCGACGAUCAGUAGCUGGUCUGAGAGGACGAUCAGCCACACUGGAACUGAGACACGGUCCAGACUCC
Molecule: ribosomal RNA, 251 nt
Filed under: uncultured bacterium
Lineage: Bacteria
Description: partial 16S ribosomal RNA
Rfam family: Bacterial small subunit ribosomal RNA
Source: RNAcentral